CAGGGAGACAACAAAAUGUUUAAUAUUAUUAUUUUGUCACCUUAGGUCGAUCGGUAUCUCACGUUUUUAAUUUAUUAAGAAUUUCAUUUCCUAAGUUUUUCUAGGUCACACCCAUUAUUUUCCUGGGCCAUUAGCUCAGGUGGUUAGAGCGCACCCCUGAUAAGGGUGAGGUCCCUGGUUCAAGUCCAGGAUGGCCCAUAUCUCUAUGUUGGGGGUAUAGCUCAGUUGGUAGAGCGCCUGCUUUGCAAGCAGGAUGUCAGCGGUUCGAGUCCGCUUACCUCCACUGAUUACCACCUCUUCCAUAAACUGUAGAAAGGAAAAUUUUUGAGUUUUGACCACAAUUCUGAACGAAUCUAGCUUCCUAAUGAAACUAUUAAGAUGCUGGACUCAUUGAAUUAAUUUCAUUGUUUUCAGAGAACCUUGACAACUGCAUAGAUUAUUUUUAAAGACAAUAAGCAUCUUUAAUGAUGCAGAUUUAUUAUUUUUGCGAAUGCAUUAAUAACAAUUCUAUUAAGCUGAUGCUUCAAUUUUUGAAGUUAUU
This 541-nucleotide transfer RNA is filed under the name uncultured cyanobacterium. Its description in RNAcentral is "partial 16S-23S ribosomal RNA intergenic spacer". The stretch from base 211 to 283 matches the Rfam family "tRNA". Lineage: Bacteria; Bacillati; Cyanobacteriota. The record is from RNAcentral.